RNAcentral lists this transfer-messenger RNA (258 nucleotides) under Clostridiales bacterium. RNAcentral's name for it is "partial transfer-messenger RNA". It matches the Rfam family "transfer-messenger RNA", at positions 1 to 286 of the family's 374-position model. Rfam says of the family: Bacterial tmRNA, also known as 10Sa RNA or SsrA, is named for its dual tRNA and mRNA-like properties. Lineage: Bacteria; Bacillati; Bacillota; Clostridia; Eubacteriales. The record is from RNAcentral.
GGGGAUGAAAGGAUUUCGACGGGGAUUUUGAACCUUAAUUAGCGAGCAGAGGUGCGCAGACUCUUAAAAAAGCGUAAAAUUAAAUUAACUGACAAUAACGAAGUUAGACUUGCUGCUUAAUUAGCAGCCAUCCCUACCGGGAGGACCGCGAACCGGAUAGGGGUGUAAUUUAGCGGUGAACGCGAACGGGUGAGCGCCUUGUAACUCGUCGUGAAUUAAAGGCUACCGUAGCAUAAAGCCUGCCGUUUGGCGUUAUGU